GGAAGUCGGAGAGACGACCGCGGGCUCAGGCUCGAGGAAAGUCCGGGCUCCGCAGGGCAGGGUGCUGGGUAACGCCCAGGGGGAGUGAUCCCACGGAAAGUGCCACAGAAAACAUACCGCCUCGGCCGCGAGGCCGCGGUAAGGGUGAAAAGGUGAGGUAAGAGCUCACCGGGCGCCUGGUGACAGGCGUCGCAUGGUAAACCCCACCCGGAGCAAGACCAUAUAGGGGAGGAUGAGGUCGCCCGCCUCGCUCGACUCCCGGGUAGGUCGCUGGAGGCCGGCGGCAACGUCGGUCGCAGAUACAUGGUCGUCGCCGUUCGCGGCAACAGGACCCGGCUUACGACCGGCUUCCCCAU
This 356-nucleotide RNase P RNA is filed under the name bacterium. Its description in RNAcentral is "RNase P RNA component class A". It matches the Rfam family "Bacterial RNase P class A". Rfam says of the family: Ribonuclease P (RNase P) is a ubiquitous endoribonuclease, found in archaea, bacteria and eukarya as well as chloroplasts and mitochondria. Its best characterised activity is the generation of mature 5'-ends of tRNAs by cleaving the 5'-leader elements of precursor-tRNAs. The record is from RNAcentral.